AUUGAACGCUGGCGGCAUGCCUUACACAUGCAAGUCGAACGGUAACGGGCCUUCGGGUGCCGACGAGUGGCGAACGGGUGAGUAAUACAUCGGAACGUGCCCGACCUGGGGGGUUAAGGGGGCGAAAGCUUUGCAAAUACCCAAUACGACCUACGGAUGAAACCGGGGGACCCCAAGGCCUUGCCCGGACGGGCCGCCCGAUGGCAGAUUAGGUAGUUGGUGGGAUAAAAGCUUACCAAGCCGACGAUCUGUAGCUGGUCUGAGAGGAUGAUCAGCCACACUGGGACUGAGACACGGCCCAGACUCCUACGGGAGGCAGCAGUGGGGAAUUUUGGACAAUGGGCGCAAGCCUGAUCCAGCCAUGCCGCGUGCAGGAUGAAGGCCUUCGGGUUGUAAACUGCUUUUGUACGGAACGAAAAGCCUUCUUUUAAUACAGGAGGGUCAUGACGGUACCGUAAGAAUAAGCACCGGCUAACUACGUG
This 482-nucleotide ribosomal RNA is filed under the name uncultured bacterium. RNAcentral's name for it is "partial 16S ribosomal RNA". It matches the Rfam family "Bacterial small subunit ribosomal RNA", at positions 30 to 507 of the family's 1533-position model. The record is from RNAcentral.